This 327-nucleotide ribosomal RNA is filed under the name uncultured eukaryote. RNAcentral describes it as "partial 18S ribosomal RNA". It matches the Rfam family "Eukaryotic small subunit ribosomal RNA", at positions 1470 to 1796 of the family's 1831-position model. The record is from RNAcentral.
CCCUUAGAUGUUCUGGGCCGCACGCGCGCUACACUGACGGAUUCAACGAGCUUACAACCUUGGCCGAAAGGUCUGGGUAAUCUCCAAAAUCCGUCGUGAUGGGGAUAGAUUAUUGCAAUUAUUAAUCUUCAACGAGGAAUGCCUAGUAAGCGCAAGUCAUCAGCUUGCGUUGAUUACGUCCCUGCCCUUUGUACACACCGCCCGUCGCUCCUACCGAUUGAAUGGUCCGGUGAAGCGUUUGGACUAUGGUUUUCUGAUGGUCCGCCGUUGGAUUACCGUGGGAAGUUCGUUAAACCUUAUCAUUUAGAGGAAGUAAAAGUCGUAACA